CAAAAACAUAGCUCUCAGCCAAUAUGAAAAUAGAAGUAUGGGGGGUGAGGCCUGCCCAAUGGUUGUAUCUAAAAACGGUUGAUAAAAGUCAACUUUACAAGGACAAUUGAAUGGCCGCGGUAACACUGACCGUGAUAAUGUAGCGUAAUCAAUAGCCAAUUAAUUGUUGGCCAGUAUGAAUGGCGUCACGAAGGCCCCACUGUCUUAAGAGAAUUCCCAGUGAAAUUGAAUUCGUAGUGAAGAUGCUACGUCCAAUUUGUUAGACGAAAAGACCCCAUUGAGCUUUACUGGGCACUUACAUAGCUCGGAUCUACUCUCGACCCCCCCUUGUGGGGGGGGGGGGUUGGUUCUAUUUUAUAUGAAUUGCUUAGAUUAUGUGGUGUCAUAACCAUCGAUCAAGUAGUCCCUACGGGAUUGCCUCCCCCGAAGGUUUAUACCUUUUUGGGUGAAAUGAAACCCCACUCUUUUAUGUUAAAUGAGCUAACCCCUUAUCCCUUUAAAGGGGGACAAUGUAAGUAGGACAGUUUGGUUGGGGCGACCGCCUUUUAAAGAGUAACGAAGGUGUGCUUAAGGUGCACUAAUUUUAAUAUCAGUUGCCUGACUGCGAGGGGGACCCCCCGAGCAGACACCCCAAAGUCUUCUCUCUUCCCCCCGAAGGUUAAAGACGAAUGGUGGGCUAUAGUGACCCGUUAGUUUAGAGUGGAAUAGCUAACGAUCAACGAAUAAAAGUUACCAUGGGGAUAACAGCGUAAUAUCGUAGAGAGU
Molecule: ribosomal RNA, 765 nt
Filed under: Epizoanthus aff. arenaceus TDS-2010
Lineage: Eukaryota; Metazoa; Cnidaria; Anthozoa; Zoantharia; Epizoanthidae
Description: partial 16S ribosomal RNA
Rfam family: Bacterial large subunit ribosomal RNA
Source: RNAcentral